Molecule: ribosomal RNA, 747 nt
Filed under: uncultured bacterium
Lineage: Bacteria
Description: bacterial SSU rRNA
Rfam family: Bacterial small subunit ribosomal RNA
Source: RNAcentral
UGAGAGGGGAAUAACUUCCCGAAAGGGAUGCUAAUACCGCAUGACGCAUAUUUAUCGCAUGGUAGAUAUGCCAAAGACUUAUCGCUCAAAGAUGGACUCGCGUCCGAUUAGCCAGUUGGCGGGGUAACGGCCCACCAAAGCGACGAUCGGUAGCCGGACUGAGAGGUUGAACGGCCACAUUGGGACUGAGACACGGCCCAGACUCCUACGGGAGGCAGCAGUGGGGGAUAUUGCGCAAUGGGGGAAACCCUGACGCAGCAACGCCGCGUGAAGGAUGAAGGUUUUCGGAUUGUAAACUUCUUUUAUUUAGGACGAACAAUGACGGUACGAAAUGAAUAAGCUCCGGCUAACUACGUGCCAGCAGCCGCGGUAAUACGUAGGGAGCAAGCGUUAUCCGGAUUUACUGGGUGUAAAGGGUGCGUAGGCGGCUUGGUAAGUCAGAUGUGAAAUGUAUGGGCUCAACCCAUGCACUGCAUUUGAAACUAUUGAGCUUGAGUGAAGUAGAGGUAGGCGGAAUUCCCUGUGUAGCGGUGAAAUGCGUAGAGAUAGGGAGGAACACCAGUGGCGAAGGCGGCCUACUGGGCUUUAACUGACGCUGAGGCACGAAAGCGUGGGUAGCAAACAGGAUUAGAUACCCUGGUAGUCCACGCUGUAAACGAUGAUUACUAGGUGUGGGGGGUCUGACCCCUUCCGUGCCGGAGUUAACACAAGAAGUAAUCCACCUGGGGAGUACGACCGCAAGGUUGC